CCCAACUUAUCGUCUCGUUGAGACAUUGGUUUGAUAUAGUAUAUUCGCAAUUUUAGAUUGCAUCCGCUAUUUAUCUUGUUCUUGCUUGUUCUUCGAUUGCUUGCAGGAACAAAGACCUUCGUGGUCAGGUUGAUCGUGCCCCGCGUGAUCAAUAACCCUCUGGAGUUGGUGUAUCGAUUGCUAAGGCGCUGCCUCCUAGGCCGUAGUCGGAUCGUCAACGUCACCUCCUACCCCAAAUCGAGAGUUAUCAAUCUCAUCGAAAGAUCGGGCCACUCACACCCGUAUCA
RNAcentral lists this long non-coding RNA (287 nucleotides) under Brachypodium distachyon (stiff brome). RNAcentral describes it as "long non-coding RNA (BDIS_LNC003338)". The record is from RNAcentral. Lineage: Eukaryota; Viridiplantae; Streptophyta; Magnoliopsida; Poales; Poaceae.